RNAcentral lists this ribosomal RNA (800 nucleotides) under Pseudoalteromonas tetraodonis. Its description in RNAcentral is "bacterial SSU rRNA". It matches the Rfam family "Bacterial small subunit ribosomal RNA", at positions 92 to 901 of the family's 1533-position model. Lineage: Bacteria; Pseudomonadati; Pseudomonadota; Gammaproteobacteria; Alteromonadales; Pseudoalteromonadaceae. The record is from RNAcentral.
CGAGCGGCGGACAGGUGAGUAAUGCUUGGGAACAUGCCUUGUGGUGGGGGACACCACUUGGAAACAACUGCUAAUACCCCAUAAUGUCUACAGAGCAAAGGGGGCUUCGGCUCUCGCCUUUUUAUUGGGCCAAGUGGGAUUAUCUAUUUGGUGAGGUAAUGGGUCACCAAGGCGACAAUCCCUAUCUGGUUUGAGAGGAUGAUCACCCCCACUGGGACUGAGACACGGCCCACACUCCUACGGGAGGCACCACUGGGGAAUAUUGCACAAUGGGCGCAAGCCUGAUGCACCCAUGCCCCGUGUGUGAAAAAAGCCUUCUGGUUGUAAAGCACUUUCUCUCACGAGGAAAGGUUAGUAGUUAAUACCUGCUAUCUGUGACAUUACUGACACAAAAAACACCGGCUAACUCCCUGCCACCACCCCCGGUAAUACAGAGGGUGCGAGCGUUAAUCUCAAUUACUGGGCGUAUAGCGUACACACGCGGUUUGUGAAGCGAGAUGUGAAAGCCCCGGGCUCUCCCUGUGAACUGCAUUUCUAACUGUCAAACUAUAGUGUGAUAUAGGGUGGGAGAAAAUCACGUGUAUCGGUGAAAUGCGUAUAGAUCUGAAAGAAUACCCAUGGCGAAAGCGCCCACCUGUGUCAACACUGACACUCAUGUGUAAAGCGUGUGGAGAAACACGAUUAUAUACCCUGGUAGUCCACGCCGCAUACGAUGUCUACUAUAAAUCGCAACCUCGGUCUGUUUUUCACAGCUAACACAUUAAUAGACACCCUGGGGAGUACACCGCACGGUUAUAACU